This 543-nucleotide long non-coding RNA is filed under the name Ananas comosus (pineapple). RNAcentral describes it as "long non-coding RNA (ACOM_LNC034989)". The record is from RNAcentral. Lineage: Eukaryota; Viridiplantae; Streptophyta; Magnoliopsida; Poales; Bromeliaceae.
GGAAAUUCUACGCGAUUUCCAAGUUUCACUUAAAGUGAAUAGUAACUCGAUUUUCCGGAGAAGCCGUGGUGAGAAGUUGGCUUCUGGCUCGUACCGGACUCUGUUCAUAGCAGUCCAAUAGCUCGUUUCGACCGGUUCAGCUGUUCUGGAACUAAUGACCCUGACGGAUUUUGAGUUUGACGCACGGAUCUCGAGAAAAUCCAAAAAUACGUGUUUUAUAUGUAUUUUUGUGUGAUUUCUUCUAUUGGUAGAAGGGUUGGAUUUUGUCGUGAAUCCGUGGUCGAUCUAGACGAAACGAAGUUGUAAUUUUGUUGUCUCCGAGGUGCUGAUCGCACCGGUGCAAUCCGUUCGCAAAUCUGACGGACGGAUCUGCGGAGAUCGCGCGUUGAUCGAGGAAAGGUCGGUAGUGGCAAAAUGGUAUUUUCGCGAAAGUCGCGAUAUUUUAUGUACCGUUUCGCGAGGGAUCGCACGUGGAGGGGCGUUCAUGCGUUUUAGUCGUACUGUGAGAGACUCGGAUUGAAAUUCUGAUGUUUGAGGGGCUUU